Molecule: ribosomal RNA, 373 nt
Filed under: uncultured organism
Description: bacterial SSU rRNA
Rfam family: Bacterial small subunit ribosomal RNA
Source: RNAcentral
CGUAGGGUGCAAGCGUUAUCCGGAAUUAUUGGGCGUAAAGAGCUCGUAGGCGGUUUGUCGCGUCUGCUGUGAAAACCCGAGGCUCAACCUCGGGCCUGCAGUGGGUACGGGCAGACUAGAGUGCGGUAGGGGAGAUUGGAAUUCCUGGUGUAGCGGUGGAAUGCGCAGAUAUCAGGAGGAACACCGAUGGCGAAGGCAGAUCUCUGGGCCGUAACUGACGCUGAGGAGCGAAAGCGUGGGGAGCGAACAGGAUUAGAUACCCUGGUAGUCCACGCCGUAAACGUUGGGAACUAGAUGUGGGGGCCAUUCCACGGCUUCCGUGUCGCAGCUAACGCAUUAAGUUCCCCGCCUGGGGAGUACGGCCGCAAGGCUA